CCUACGGGUGGCAGCAGUAGGGAAUAUUGCUCAAUGGGGGAAACCCUGAAGCAGCAACGCCGCGUGGAGGAUGAAGGUUUUCGGAUUGUAAACUCCUUUUGUUAGAGAAGAAAAUGACGGUAUCUAACGAAUAAGCACCGGCUAACGCCGUGCCAGCAGCCGCGGUAAUACGGAGGGUGCAAGCGUUACUCGGAAUCACUGGGCGUAAAGGGAGCGUAGGCGGGUUAGAAGUUAAGGUGUGAAGGCCUAUGGCUUAACGAUAGAAGUGCAUUUGAAACUGUUAUUCUGGAGUACAGGAGAGGUAGGUGGAAUGCGUGGUGUAGCGGUGAAAUGCGUAGAGAUCACGAAGAACACUGAUUGCGAAGGCGACCUACUAAAACGUAACUGACGCUGAUGCGCGAAAGCGUGGGGAGCAAACAGGAUUAGAUACCCGGGUAGUC
This 440-nucleotide ribosomal RNA is filed under the name uncultured bacterium. RNAcentral describes it as "partial 16S ribosomal RNA". It matches the Rfam family "Bacterial small subunit ribosomal RNA", at positions 338 to 795 of the family's 1533-position model. The record is from RNAcentral.